UGAGUAACGCGUGAGAAUCUGCCUUUGGACGGGGACAACUGCUGGAAACGGCAGCUAAGACCGGAUAUGCCCUUGGGUGAAAUAUUGUAUAGCCAAAAGAGGAGCUCGCGACCGAUUAGCUAGUUGGUGGGGUAAGAGCCUACCAAGGCUGCGAUCGGUAGCCGGUUUGAGAGGACGACCGGCCACACUGGGACUGAGACACGGCCCAGACUCCUACGGGAGGCAGCAGUGGGGAAUUUUCCGCAAUGGGCGAAAGCCUGACGGAGCAAUACCGCGUGAGGGAGGAAGGCUCUUGGGUCGUAAACCUCUUUUCUCAAGGAAGAAUCAAAUGACGGUACUUGAGGAAUCAGCAUCGGCUAACUCCGUGCCAGCAGCCGCGGUAAUACGGAGGAUGCAAGCGUUAUCCGGAAUGAUUGGGCGUAAAGCGUCCGCAGGUGGCACAUCAAGUCUGCUGUCAAAGCCCCCAGCUUAACUGGGAAGAGGCGUGGAAACUGGUGAGCUAGAGAGCAAUAGGGGUAGAGGGAAUUCCCGGUGUAGCGGUGAAAUGCGUAGAGAUCGGGAAGAACACCAGUGGCGAAAGCGCUCUACUAGGUUGCGACUGACACUGAGGGACGAAAGCUAGGGGAGCGAAUGGGAUUAGAUACCCCAGGUAGUACUCCGUUAC
This 664-nucleotide ribosomal RNA is filed under the name Chroococcidiopsis cubana PUPCCC 005.5/1. RNAcentral's name for it is "bacterial SSU rRNA". It matches the Rfam family "Bacterial small subunit ribosomal RNA", at positions 107 to 806 of the family's 1533-position model. Lineage: Bacteria; Bacillati; Cyanobacteriota; Cyanophyceae; Chroococcidiopsidales; Chroococcidiopsidaceae. The record is from RNAcentral.